RNAcentral lists this ribosomal RNA (250 nucleotides) under uncultured bacterium. Its description in RNAcentral is "partial 16S ribosomal RNA". It matches the Rfam family "Bacterial small subunit ribosomal RNA", at positions 524 to 773 of the family's 1533-position model. The record is from RNAcentral.
UACGGAGGAUCCGAGCGUUAUCCGGAUUUAUUGGGUUUAAAGGGUGCGUAGGUGGUUUGAUAAGUCAGCGGUGAAAGUUUGCAGCUUAACUGUAAAAAUGCCGUUGAAACUGUCGGACUUGAGUGUAAAUGAGGUAGGCGGAAUGCGUGGUGUAGCGGUGAAAUGCGCAGAUAUCAGGAAGAACACCCGUGGCGAAGGCGGCUUACUAAGCUACAACUGACACUGAAGCACGAAAGCGUGGGGAUCAAAC